Molecule: ribosomal RNA, 433 nt
Filed under: uncultured bacterium
Lineage: Bacteria
Description: partial 16S ribosomal RNA
Rfam family: Bacterial small subunit ribosomal RNA
Source: RNAcentral
AACGAACGCUGGCGGCAUGCCUAACACAUGCAAGUCGAACGAGACCUUCGGGUCUAGUGGCGCACGGGUGCGUAACGCGUGGGAACCUGCCUUUAGGUCCGGAAUAACUCAGAGAAAUUUGAGCUAAUACCGGAUGAUGUCUUCGGACCAAAGAUUUAUCGCCUUUAGAUGGGCCCGCGUUGGAUUAGCUAGUUGGUGGGGUAAAGGCCUACCGAGGCGACGAUCCAUAGCUGGUCUGAGAGGAUGAUCAGCCACACUGGGACUGAGACACGGCCCAGACUCCUACGGGAGGCAGCAGUGGGGAAUAUUGGACAAUGGGCGAAAGCCUGAUCCAGCAAUGCCGCGUGAGUGAUGAAGGCCUUAGGGUUGUAAAGCUCUUUUAACCGAGAUGAUAAUGACAGUAUCGGGAGAAUAAGCUCCGGCUAACUCCGUG